AGGAGCGGUAUGAGGUGAAAGUCUCACGUACCGUUCUGAAGCCGAGUCAGGAGGGUGACCUUCUGGCUUAGGUAAC
This 76-nucleotide non-coding RNA is filed under the name Dactylococcopsis salina PCC 8305. Lineage: Bacteria; Bacillati; Cyanobacteriota; Cyanophyceae; Nodosilineales; Cymatolegaceae. The record is from RNAcentral.